GCACCUCCAUCCCAAGCCCUGGUCGUCGUCCCUCAUCGCUGCCUCUCGUCGGUCCGCUUCGCUGUCGCUGUCGACCUCGCCCUCGCCUAAGAUAUUCCUCCUCACCCUCGAUCUUGUCCUCCUCCUCUCCCAUCACUACUUUUUGCCUACCCGAUUGAAUCCCUAACAUCCUCGGAUCGCCCUCAUUCUCCUCCGCCCCCACUGCCCCAAACCUCGAACCUAGAUGGUUCUGUCUUCGUUCUAUAC
RNAcentral lists this long non-coding RNA (246 nucleotides) under Elaeis guineensis (African oil palm). RNAcentral's name for it is "long non-coding RNA (EGUI_LNC063918)". Lineage: Eukaryota; Viridiplantae; Streptophyta; Magnoliopsida; Arecales; Arecaceae. The record is from RNAcentral.